This 253-nucleotide ribosomal RNA is filed under the name uncultured bacterium. RNAcentral describes it as "partial 16S ribosomal RNA". It matches the Rfam family "Bacterial small subunit ribosomal RNA", at positions 524 to 776 of the family's 1533-position model. The record is from RNAcentral.
UACGAAGGGGGCUAGCGUUGCUCGGAAUUACUGGGCGUAAAGGGCGCGUAGGCGGAUGUUUAAGUCAGAGGUGAAAGCCCAGGGCUCAACCUUGGAACUGCCUCUGAUACUGGGCAUCUUGAGUACGGGAGAGGUGAGUGGAACUCCGAGUGUAGAGGUGAAAUUCGUAGAUAUUCGGAAGAACACCAGUGGCGAAGGCGACUCACUGGCCCGUUACUGACGCUGAGGCGCGAAAGCGUGGGGAGCAAACAGG